This 58-nucleotide transfer RNA is filed under the name Culex quinquefasciatus (southern house mosquito). It matches the Rfam family "tRNA", at positions 8 to 63 of the family's 71-position model. Rfam says of the family: Transfer RNA (tRNA) molecules are approximately 80 nucleotides in length. Their secondary structure includes four short double-helical elements and three loops (D, anti-codon, and T loops). Lineage: Eukaryota; Metazoa; Arthropoda; Insecta; Diptera; Culicidae. The record is from Rfam by way of RNAcentral.
UGGCUGACUGGUUACGGUGUUCGCUUUGUAAGCGAAUGAUUCUGGGUUCGAUUCCCAU